RNAcentral lists this transfer RNA (21 nucleotides) under Praxelis clematidea. Its description in RNAcentral is "partial tRNA-Phe". Lineage: Eukaryota; Viridiplantae; Streptophyta; Magnoliopsida; Asterales; Asteraceae. The record is from RNAcentral.
CUGUACAUAUACGCGAAAUCG